AACUACUCCAUUAAACGUAUUAAUGGAUAGAUCUGGCAUUCUCUAUUUCACUUUUUUCCUAGUGCUUUUCAGCUUCGUUCUUAUUUCUUCCAACAGUAAGUAAUUAAAUGUUAUUAUUUAUUUAUUUUGGUGGAAAGAAAAAUUUCUUAUUUAUUUCUCCAAUUAGUUAGUACAUACUUACAUUGCUACUUUAUUUUCAUGUUCUUUUUGUAUGUUUGACUUUUUGUUAGAAUCUUACAUUCGUUAAGUUCAUACAUUAUUGUUAGAGGUAAAGCCAGAAUUUGAAUCUUGUGCGUUCGAAAUUUUAAUCCGUUUAUAUUACCGAGUUUUAAAUUAAUUAUAUAUAUAUAUAUAUAUAUAUAUAUCUUAAAAUAAAUAUAAAAUUUGAAUAAAAGUUAUUAAUUCGAUCGAACCUGCAAGACACAUGCUAGCUUCCCCCUAAUUAUUGUCUCUCUCUAUGUUUCUUGACAAUUAUCACCUCUUUUAACUACCAUUCUUAUUUCUUGCUUCAAAUGCAAAAUAUUUUUAAUUUGUUGAUAUUUCUAUAAAUGUUAAAAGAUAAAAAUUAUUUUUCACUCCUCAAUCAAACACACUAAAGUAGUAAAAAUAUUUUCUUUUGUAUCAAACACACCUACAUAAUUAAGAAUCUAGUUCUUAAGUUGGUAUCAUUUCUGACAUGUACAGGUUUAUAAAGGCAAAGUCGGAAUUCAAAUUUAUGAGUUUUAAAUUUUAAGGGACAUGACAACUUACUAGAUGGAAAUAAGUUAUAUAUAUAUAUAUAUAUAAAGAAUUGAACGAAUAUAUAAUACAAAUAAAAGUUAUUGAAUUCUGCCAAACGCGUAAUUGAUACGCUAUUUGUUUAUGCAGAAAUGAAAAGAGUGGAAGCUGGACUUUGUAAAAGGUGGAGUGGAACAUUUAAAGGGCAAUGCAUAAUUCCCUACGAUUGUGACUCGACAUGUAGGUUAAAAGAGAAGGCUAUAGAAGGUGAAUGUGAUUGGGUUGGAAUUAAAAAAGGAUAUGUUUGCUUCUGUAUCGUUGGUUGUUAAAUAAUCAUACUUUUUUAUAAUAUCUUUAUAUAAUAAUAUUUUACUAUAAAAAUUAAACUUUUUUCAGAACAAAUUUUCAUAUUAUAUUAUGAUAUAUAUUUUUUAUAAUAAUACUUUAUUAUAAUAUUCAAAAAUAUUCAAAAAUAAAUAAGAUUGUUAUAAAAAGAUUUGGCAUUAAUCAAACACUCAAUUAUAUCGUUCAUAUAAAUAAAAGCUGAUCAUAAAUAAGUGAAAGUGAAAAUAGCAGUUUCGAUCCAUGAGUUAUUGUUUUGUUGUAAUUUUGAUCCUUAUAUUACUUGACUAAUCAUAUUUAAACUUUAAUUUAAUCAUUAAAGAUAAUGGACGUCUACCUUUUUACUUCAAAAUUACCAAAUGAUCAUGCCAUAACUCAUUUUCUCAUCUUUCCCUUUUAUCCAUUCAUUAGAGAUGCCAAAUGAGCGGGAUUGUUGUACAAAUAACUGAUCAAAUUUGUUGUUUAUUUUUUUCAUUGGUAUAUAUAAAAUAUACACUGAUUAUACAUAAUUACACGCAAUUACCACAACGGUCAUGCCAUUACUCUCUUUUCCCAUCUUUCCCUUUUACCCUCGUUUAGAGAGGCCAAAUGAGCGAUAUUGUUACACAAAGGCGCGGGCUCAGAUUUGUUGCUUACGUUUUCUAAUCGGUAUAUAUAGAUUAUAUAUAGUUAUACAGAUAUAAUAGAUGAAUACAUAUAUUAUGCAUAAAUUAUACAUAUACAUAUAUAUAUACAUAUAUAUAUAUAUAUAAUAUAUUUGUUGGCUAUUUUUAGUUUAAGAUAUUCAGUGGCGGCUAUUUGAAUUAAUUCUUCUAGUUGAUAGGAGUUUAGAAAAGCUCGAUAAAAUUUAAGAAAAUCAUUAGUAAUGGAGAACAUAGGUAUUAGACUAAACAAAUCCAAUUAAAGAUACAUAAUUAACAAAUCCGCUGCUAAGAAAUAAGUAGGAACAUAAUUAUAAGCAUGUUCUACAGUAACAAACUUCAUGUUGAUCACAAAGUCCAUCAAAGGCACCCUCAAAGUUUUUGCAUCUGAAGGCGCAAGAAUAACAAGUUCCUGCUGAAUUACUGAUAUAAGUGCAUGAAUCAGCUUGAGCUUCCAUUUCUACAACAAUAAAUAAAUAAAUAAAAAUAUCUUUCUGAAUUUAUUAAGAUUAUAGAAUUAUACAAAUUAAUCGACCAACAACAACAAUAAAUAAAUAAAUAAAAAUAUCUUUCUGAAUUUAUUAAGAUUAUAGAAUUAUACAAAUUAAUCGACCAACAUUGAUAAUAAAACUGGAAAUAUAAGUUCUGAUGGUGUAAAGAGUUUUACGCUGUGAUCAAGUCUUUAAUUUUAAGAAUAUAAAUUUCACUCAUUAUGAAGAGUUACCUGUAAAUAUAUUUUGGGUGACCUAAUUAUAAAUGUAAAAGUUUUAUGAUAUAUAUAUAUAUAUAGUGUAUAUAUGCUUUAAUAAAGUAGCUCGGGAAAACCUUAAGACAGGAUAUCGGGGCGAAGGUAUGAAGGUAUGGCAAUGCAGCCCAGUUUGGUCUGAGGAGGAGUGAGACCGUGAAAGCUGCAACAAAAGGACAUGACUUUCACCAAUUUCUUAAGUGAGAAGUGAAUGUUGGCAGCUACUUUCUUAUAGUUAUGUAUCCCGAUCUUCGAGUUCUAGUUCAAAAUUGUUACAAUAUUCCUCCAUAGGAUGUAAUGAUGACACCUAACAUCUACGACUAGGUAAGCCCAACACUUACUAAAAUUAAUUGAUAGAGAUUAACCAACAUAACUAUUAAGCAGAAAUUAGAUAUUUCUAAUUGAACCCAAUAUAUUCAACAUACAAUAAUGUUGAAGUAUUGGGCCAACCCAAUGUAAAGGGCAAGCAGCCCAAUGUGCAAGACAAGCUGAUAGCCACAGACAUUACAUAAGUAGCCA
This 2964-nucleotide long non-coding RNA is filed under the name Nicotiana benthamiana. Its description in RNAcentral is "long non-coding RNA (NBEN_LNC017285)". Lineage: Eukaryota; Viridiplantae; Streptophyta; Magnoliopsida; Solanales; Solanaceae. The record is from RNAcentral.